RNAcentral lists this ribosomal RNA (300 nucleotides) under uncultured Glaciecola sp. Its description in RNAcentral is "bacterial SSU rRNA". It matches the Rfam family "Bacterial small subunit ribosomal RNA", at positions 115 to 418 of the family's 1533-position model. The record is from RNAcentral. Lineage: Bacteria; Pseudomonadati; Pseudomonadota; Gammaproteobacteria; Alteromonadales; Alteromonadaceae.
ACUUAGGGAUCUGCCCUUUGGAGGGGGAUAACUAUUGGAAACGAUAGCUAAUACCGCAUAUUACCUACGGGUAAAAGGGGGUAACGUUGUUACCUCUCGCCAGAGGAGGAACCUAAGCGAGAUUAGCUAGUUGGUGGGGUAAAGGCUCACCAAGGCGACGAUCUCUAGCUGUUCUGAGAGGAAGAUCAGCCACACUGGGACUGAGACACGGCCCAGACUCCUACGGGAGGCAGCAGUGGGGAAUAUUGCACAAUGGGGGAAACCCUGAUGCAGCCAUGCCGCGUGUGUGAAGAAGGCCUU